GAUGAACGCUGGCGGCGUGCUUAACACAUGCAAGUCGAACGGGAUCCAAGGGGUGCUUGCACUUUUUGGUGAGAGUGGCGAACGGGUGAGUAACACGUGAGUAACCUGUCCUUUUCUUUGGGAUAAGCAUUCGAAAGGGUGUUUAAUACCUUAUGUUCUGUCUGCCUCGCAUGGGGUGGGUGGGAAAGACUUUGGCCGGAUUUGGGUGGGCUCGCGGUCUAUCAGCUUGUUGGUGGGGUGAUGGCUUACCAAGGCUUUGACGGGUAGCCGGCCUGAGAGGGUGGUCGGUCACAUUGGGACUGAGAUACGGCCCAGACUCCUGCGGGAGGCAGCAGUGGGGGAUAUUGCACAAUGGGCGAAAGCCUGAUGCAGCGACGCCGCGUGGGGGAUGAAGGCCUUCGGGUUGUAAACUUCUUUUGCUCUGAACAAGGCAUGCCAGUGGGUGUGUUGAGUGUAGGGGUUGAUUAGCGCCGGCUAACUACGUG
This 485-nucleotide ribosomal RNA is filed under the name uncultured bacterium. RNAcentral describes it as "partial 16S ribosomal RNA". It matches the Rfam family "Bacterial small subunit ribosomal RNA", at positions 28 to 507 of the family's 1533-position model. The record is from RNAcentral.